CGAGCGCAGGANCCAGAUGACCCCUUCGGGGUGAUUCUGGUGGAAUGAGCGGCGGNACGGGUGAGUAACACGUGGGCAACCUGCCUGUAAGACUGGGAUAACUUCGGGAAACCGGAGCUAAUACCGGAUAGUAUUUCCUUUCUCCUGAUUGGAAAUGGAAAGACGGUUUCGGCUGUCACUUACAGAUGGGCCCGCGGUGCAUUAGCUAGUUGGUGGGGUAAUGGCCCACCAAGGCGACGAUGCAUAGCCGACCUGAGAGGGUGAUCGGCCACACUGGGACUGAGACACGGCCCAGACUCCUACGGGAGGCAGCAGUAGGGAAUCUUCCGCAAUGGACGAAAGUCUGACGGAGCAACGCCGCGUGAGCGAUGAAGGCCUUCGGGUCGUAAAGCUCUGUUGUUAGGGAAGAACAAGUACGAGAGUAACUGCUCGUACCUUGACGGUACCUAACCAGAAAGCCCCGGCUAACUACGUGCCAGCAGCCGCGGUAAUACGUAGGGGGCAAGCGUUGUCCGGAAUUAUUGGGCGUAAAGGGCUCGUAGGCGGUUUCUUAAGUCUGAUGUGAAAGCCCACAGCUCAACUGUGGAGGGUCAUUGGAAACUGNNGAACUUGAGUGCAGAAGAGGAGAGUGGAAUUCCACGUGUAGCGGUGAAAUGCGUAGAUAUGUGGAGG
Molecule: ribosomal RNA, 672 nt
Filed under: Terribacillus saccharophilus
Lineage: Bacteria; Bacillati; Bacillota; Bacilli; Caryophanales; Bacillaceae
Description: bacterial SSU rRNA
Rfam family: Bacterial small subunit ribosomal RNA
Source: RNAcentral